This is a long non-coding RNA of Paramisgurnus dabryanus, 541 nucleotides long. RefSeq lists it as uncharacterized. The record is from RefSeq and is a predicted model, not a curated record. Lineage: Eukaryota; Metazoa; Chordata; Actinopteri; Cypriniformes; Cobitidae.
CAAGAAUUAUGAUAUUUUAUCAGGCAUGCAAAGACACCAGUGAAAUUAAGAUGUUUGGUUUAAUUUAUCUUAUCUGAAUAUCUGCUGUCACGCAUAACAUUCAUUAUUUGACCGUAUUUCAAAGAUAAACAAAAUCCAGUUACAACUCCGAACCGCUAGAUGGCAGCAGUACACAAACACGGGGCCAAAUCUCACGAGAAAGAUUUCCGCUUUUUGAAAAGCAACAACAUCAGCGAGCAGCCACGAGGAAAGUAUGUACCACACUUGUUUGGUCUUGUGUCAAAGCUGUGCGAAACUGGAGGGAGAAACUUGAGAGACCGUGCCGGAAGAAUGCUGGACAGAGUUCACUAAAAUUCAUUAAUUUCAAAGUUCAACAUGAAUGGUGGUGGUCCACUGCAGAAGCAAGCAUUUGAAAAAACAUCAGUUCUCAGUUAUUAAAGAUGCUGUGUUGAACAACUUCCCAGCAGCAACAGAACUGGAAGUGAAGGAUGCAAUGGGGGCAUUUCAAACAGGCACCAGGGAUCACGGGGGGGGGGGGGGG